AAAUAUGAGCCAUAGAAAUAGAUAUGUCCAGUUGUCGGAUUAACUUUGCUCAAGCUAUUCGUUUCAAUCACUAAAACGCAAAAAGAUGAGAAAAGUCGCGUUUUUCGUUUUAACACUCAUAACUAUCGUAAUUGCAGAUGAUAAAGACAUAGAAGACAUAGCAAAAAGGUUUGACACUGAUGCAGCGACAGUACAGACAUGUCUGGAC
Wasmannia auropunctata (little fire ant) is the source of this 208-nucleotide long non-coding RNA. RefSeq lists it as uncharacterized. Lineage: Eukaryota; Metazoa; Arthropoda; Insecta; Hymenoptera; Formicidae. The transcript is spliced from 2 exons. The record is from RefSeq and is a predicted model, not a curated record.